RNAcentral lists this unclassified non-coding RNA (201 nucleotides) under fungal sp. RNAcentral's name for it is "partial internal transcribed spacer region". The stretch from base 1 to 46 matches the Rfam family "Eukaryotic small subunit ribosomal RNA", at positions 1786 to 1831 of the family's 1831-position model. The record is from RNAcentral. Lineage: Eukaryota; Fungi.
AAGUCGUAACAAGGUAUCCGUAGGUGAACCUGCGGAUGGAUCAUUAGUGGAUGAUGGAGGAAUGUGAGUGGUUUUAAUAAGUAAUUGGGCGAUGUUGGUUGGAUGCCUAGCGGGCCAGCCAAUAUUACUCACGGUAAACUCUGUAAAUCUAAAAUACAAACAUAACAAAAACAACUUUUAGCAACGGAUCUCUUGGCUCUC